ACGGCUCAGUAACACGUAGAUAACAUGCCCUAAGGUGGGGGAUAAUCUCGGGAAACUGAGGAUAAUACCCCAUAGAUCUUGGACGCUGGAAUGCCCCUAGGUCGAAAACUCCGGUGCCUUAGGAUUGGUCUGCGGUCUAUCAGGCAGUAGUGGGUGUAACGGACCCACUAGCCCGUGACGGAUAUGGGCCUUGAGAGAGGGUGCCCAGAGAUGGACUCUGAGACAUGAGUCCAGGCCCUACGGGGCGCAGCAGUCGCGAAAACUUCGCAAUGGGGGAAACCCCGACGAGGGAAUUCCAAGUGCUAGCACUUUGUGUUAGCUGUUCUUCUGUCUAAAAAACAGAGAGAGUAAGGGCUGGGUAAGACGGGUGCCAGCCGCCGCGGUAAUACCUGCAGCUCAAGUGGUGGCCGCUAUUAUUGGGCCUAAAACGUCCGUAGCCGGUUCUAUAAAUGCCUGGGUAAAUCGUACGGCUUAACCGUACGAAUUCCGGGUAGACUGUUCAACUUGGGACCGGGAGAGGCUAGAGGUACUCCUGGGGUAGAGGUGAAAUUCUGUAAUCCUAGGGGGACCACCAGUGGCGAAGGCGUCUAGCUAGAACGGGUCUGACGGUGAGGGACGAAGCCCUGGGGAGCAAACGGGAUUAGAUACCCGGGUAGUCCUAGCCGUAAACGAUGCUCACUAGGUGUCACAACAGUCGUGAACUGUUGCGGUGCCGUAGGGAAGCCGUGAAGCGAGCCACUUGGGAAGUACGACCGCAAGGUUGAAACUUAAAGGAAUUGGCGGGGGAA
This 788-nucleotide ribosomal RNA is filed under the name uncultured archaeon. RNAcentral's name for it is "bacterial SSU rRNA". It matches the Rfam family "Archaeal small subunit ribosomal RNA", at positions 85 to 876 of the family's 1478-position model. The record is from RNAcentral.